GAUGAACGCUGGCGGCGUGCCUAAUACAUGCAAGUCGAGCGAACAGAUGAGGAGCUUGCUCCUCUGACGUUAGCGGCGGACGGGUGAGUAACACGUGGAUAACCUACCUAUAAGACUGGGAUAACUUCGGGAAGCCGGAGCUAAUACCGGAUAAUAUAUUGAACCGCAUGGUUCAAUAGUGAAAGACGGUUUUGCUGUCACUUAUAGAUGGAUCCGCGCCGCAUUAGCUAGUUGGUAAGGUAACGGCUUACCAAGGCAACGAUGCGUAGCCGACCCGAGAGGGGGAUAGGCCACACGGGAACGGAGACACGGUCCAGACUCCUACGGGAGGCAGCAGUAGGGAAUCUUCCGCAAUGGGCGAAAGCCUGACGGAGCAACGCCGCGUGAGUGAUGAAGGUCUUCGGAUCGUAAAACUCUGUUAUUAGGGAAGAACAAAUGUGUAAGUAACUAUGCACGUCUUGACGGUACCUAAUCAGAAAGCCACGGCUAACUACGUG
Molecule: ribosomal RNA, 497 nt
Filed under: uncultured bacterium
Lineage: Bacteria
Description: partial 16S ribosomal RNA
Rfam family: Bacterial small subunit ribosomal RNA
Source: RNAcentral